This 485-nucleotide ribosomal RNA is filed under the name uncultured bacterium. RNAcentral describes it as "partial 16S ribosomal RNA". It matches the Rfam family "Bacterial small subunit ribosomal RNA", at positions 29 to 523 of the family's 1533-position model. The record is from RNAcentral.
AGUGAACGCUGGCGGCGUGCUUAACACAUGCAAGUCGAACGAGAACGGAUUAUAGCUUGCUAUAAUUGUCAGCUAAGUGGCGCACGGGUGAGUAAUGUAUAGAUAACCUGCCCUCUAGAAAGGAAUAACAGUUGGAAACGACUGCUAAUGCCCUAUAUGCCUUUAAUACAUAAGUAUGCAAGGGAAACGCUUUAGUGCUAGAGGAUGGGUCUGUAUGGUAUCAGUUAGUUGGUGAGGUAAUGGCUCACCAAGACAAUGACGCCUAACUGGUUUGAGAGGAUGAUCAGUCACACUGGAACUGAGACACGGUCCAGACUCCUACGGGAGGCAGCAGUGGGGAAUAUUGCACAAUGGACGAAAGUCUGAUGCAGCAACGCCGCGUGGAGGAUGACACAUUUCGGUGCGUAAACUCCUUUUAUAUAGGAAGAUAAUGACGGUACUAUAUGAAUAAGCACCGGCUAACUCCGUGCCAGCAGCCGCGGUAA